Molecule: ribosomal RNA, 295 nt
Filed under: uncultured bacterium
Lineage: Bacteria
Description: partial 16S ribosomal RNA
Source: RNAcentral
GGACUACUAGGGUAUCUAAUCCCAUUCGCUCCCCACGCUUUCGUCCUAGCAGUGUCAGGUGGCACCCAGAGCUCUGCCUUCGCUAUCGGUGUUCCGAACGAUAUCAACGCAUUUCACUGCUACACCGUUCGUUCCAAGCUCCUCUUUGCCCCUCUAGCUACACAGUAUUCAAGGCGAGUCUGGAGUUGAGCCCCAGAAUUUUACCCCGAACUUAUAUAGCCACCUAUCGGCACGCUUUACGCCCAAUGAUUCCGGAUAACGCUUGAGGUCUCUGUAUUACCGCGGCGGCUGGCAC